Molecule: long non-coding RNA, 1133 nt
Organism: Poecilia latipinna (sailfin molly)
Lineage: Eukaryota; Metazoa; Chordata; Actinopteri; Cyprinodontiformes; Poeciliidae
Exons: 2
Source: RefSeq, a predicted model, not a curated record
AGGUCGGGUUCCCUCAGGUGUGUUUAAGACCCUCAGGUGUGUUUAAGACCCUCAGGUGUGUUUAAGACCCUCAGGUGUGUGCGACUGUUCAGGGUGCAGUUGGUCUGGACAUGGUGAGGAGGAGAAAAAAACACAACUUAUUUUAGCCUUGGGUGACAUUCAUCCAGCUGGGAAGGCAACAUUUCACCAGCAGCAGUAUGUCAACAUGGCGACACGCCAAGAGACUUACAACGAAAGUGGCCCGAAUGAAUAUUAUUAUUAGAUGGGAUCCAGAAGAGAUGGCAAAAUCAGCCUGAAAUCCACAGCAGCAGCACCAUAACACGGCAGAGGGAGCGAGGGGAAGAACGACGCUGAUGGGGAGCAGAAACAAAGCCAGAGUCCCAACUUUGACCUGGAAGAGAAUUAUUACAUUUUCCAGAGGAUAUGAAAUAAAUCCCAUUGAAGACAAAGGAAAGAAAAUCCCUCCAGACCUGUUGAUCUGCUGUGCGAAUAGACAAGAUUUCUGAACAAUGCACAGCAACCUGCUGAUUCCAACUGUCUCUGGGUGUUUCUUUAGAAAACUUUAUUGUAGCCGUGAGUCAUUGUUAGGUUUGCAGACAGUUACACCCAGGGGCGCGGUGGGACACCGGCUGUCCUUAAACUAAUUAUCUCUCCAUCGUUGUCCUCAUAUCUUCUGGUACAUACAUUAGCAUUUUGUCCACAGUCCAUGUCAGAAGAUAACAGAAAUGAUCCUUUUGUUUUGUAACCACCAUUCAUAAUUUCUUUUGUUUGGUUUUUAGAAAUGGGACAUUAUGAAUUAAUAUUUACAUGUAAAUGUUUGAUAUUAUAGCUAUCAGGCUAAUUUCUAUCUCUAAAUAGUAAUUAAACAGCUGUUUGUAAUCUGUAGUCUACAGUGGUUCAAUAAUUGAGAUUUUAAGUACAUAAGUUGAAUAAAGUUAGUGUAACAAUGGUAAAAGUACAGUUGUAUAUUAGCCUAGCUAGUUAAGAUACUUUAAAAUAAGGCUAGUUUUAGUUAGGCUAAGCUAAGCCUAGUUAAGCUAGCUGGGCUAAUUGUGUGACUUGCCACUGUAACAAAUAAAUCUACUGCAGAUUAAUGUGUUUUGUUUGGGUAAAUAAAUAGUUUUGCUUUUGAG